UACAGAGGUGGCAAGCGUUGUUCGGAAUUACUGGGCGUAAAGGGCGCGUAGGCGGCCUUGUCAGUCAGACGUGAAAUCCCCAGGCUUAACCUGGGAACUGCGUCUGAUACUACAAGGCUGGAGUGCGGGAGAGGGAUGUGGAAUUCCAGGUGUAGCGGUGAAAUGCGUAGAUAUCUGGAGGAACACCGGUGGCGAAGGCGGCAUCCUGGACCGACACUGACGCUGAGGCGCGAAAGCUAGGGGAGCAAACGGG
This 253-nucleotide ribosomal RNA is filed under the name uncultured bacterium. Its description in RNAcentral is "partial 16S ribosomal RNA". It matches the Rfam family "Bacterial small subunit ribosomal RNA", at positions 524 to 776 of the family's 1533-position model. The record is from RNAcentral. RNAcentral also lists the same sequence under 1 other name.